GUAUCAUCACACCUGGAAUUGAG
Molecule: non-coding RNA, 23 nt
Filed under: Arabidopsis thaliana (thale cress)
Lineage: Eukaryota; Viridiplantae; Streptophyta; Magnoliopsida; Brassicales; Brassicaceae
Source: RNAcentral